AUGAUGGAGGUUGACAUUGUGAAGUUUAUGGAAAUACGUGAAAGGCGAAAAGUAAUUUACUCUAAUAAGGCAUUCAGGAAGCAAUUACCUUUUCAAAUACUAUUAAUAGGAAGCAAGUUGAAAAUGAGCAUGGGAUCAACAUCACACAUGGAAUAUAUUUGUGAAGAGACAGACAGUAUUAUGUCAUACCCAGAGGGGAAAAUAAUCAGAUAUCAACCCUGCAUUUGCUGCAUUAAUCAUAUUUUUGUGACUAAGAGAAAUAAGAAUAGAGCUGGUUAUUAGACUCAUGAUGACCUUGUUCCCAGUCUCCAAUUUUGGUGUGGCAAAUAUGUUCAUCUGUCUGCACAUUGGGUUAUUGGUAAAGUAAGGAUAAUCAUGCAUAAUACUUCCUUAUUGGCUCAGAGCUUUAGAAGGUGAUUUCACAUUUUCUUGUGUUACUUGAAAAAUUGCGUACUAUUCAGGUGCUAAUGGCUCUCCUUGGCAAAGAAAACUAAGACAUACUCUCUUAUAAUUUCAAGAGAAUUUUUAGUGUAUAAUUACAUUAAUAUCUAAAGUAAAUUGCAUCUCAUUUUUACAUCAUAGGAAUUAGGAUUAUUAGCAUUAAGUAAAAUUCAAAAUGUAGGAAUUAAGGAUAUUAUUACUGGGGAAAAAUAACAGCAUGAAAUUUUAAAGGAAGGAUUUGGUUUUAGUUAAGAUAAUGUUACUUCAUACCUGGUAAAAGAUAAUUCAGUAAAUAUUUUUGAAUAUAAAUUAGCUUCUAAUUGAAAAUGGUAGUGAUUUUAAGUGUUGAAGUUUACUAGAAGCCUUUGGGAGAAAUUUGAUGUAUUGAAGAAGUUAAAAUGUAUACAGUUUUACAACCUAUAAGAUGUAUUGCUAAUAUGAUAAAGAAAAAUCUAUGUGACUAUUUUGAACCUUAAAAUAUUUAUAUAAAAAUGGUAAUAAGUGAAAAGAAAAGAAUUAUUUCUGGAGAUUAAACUGAACACUUUAAGGUAUAGAACUGUGUUUUGUGUUUUCUAUCUAUCAGUCUUCAGUAUUGUGCAGGCAACUCAAUUUUAAUGUAUAAAAUAGUCUGGGUGAUGAUACUCAUGCACAACAACCUAUCAGUUGGAUUGGAGUUAAAAGCACUGCACUAAUGUUAUUAAUUUAUAUUUGUUCAUUUAGAAUCAUGUAAAUAUGCUCACAGCUUUUCUGAUAAAACUCUAGUUAAAAAGCCAUAGAUAGUGAGGAAGACAAGGCUUCCAAUUGGAGAAUGUCAAUAUUCUAAAUAUCUCAUUGCCAACAAUUUUACGUGUCUGUCUAUGUCAACUUAGAGAGAAUAGAAUAGAACCUACAUUUCAAGUAAGGUAAGGUAGCACUGACAACCAUUUCUCCUUUUUUUUGUUGCCAGAACAUUAGUCCUGCUUAGGAUACCCAUAUACUAAAGAUUAUAUUUCAAAAUUUAUAUACCAGAGACAUAAUUUUGCUCAGCUAAACCUAUGAUGGCAAUUUCAGUCAUUAUGCCAAUGACUGAAAGAUGAGGAAAAAUCUACAGGGGGAUUUUGGAAAAGACUAUAUUAUUCUCACUGAUAACAAGUAAAAGAUGAGGAAAAACAGAAAGUCUUCUCUUUGUUGGAUUUUUUUUUUACACUUGAAAUUUUGGCAGUCAUUUUGGGAACAUAA
Long non-coding RNA from Pan troglodytes (chimpanzee), 1659 nucleotides. Lineage: Eukaryota; Metazoa; Chordata; Mammalia; Primates; Hominidae. The record is from Ensembl.